Molecule: ribosomal RNA, 496 nt
Filed under: uncultured bacterium
Lineage: Bacteria
Description: bacterial SSU rRNA
Rfam family: Bacterial small subunit ribosomal RNA
Source: RNAcentral
AUGGCUCAGGAUGAACGCUGGCGGCGUGCCUAACACAUGCAAGUCGACGAAGCACUUUACGGAACCUCGGGUGAAGCGAUUGUGACUGAGUGGCGGACGGGUGAGUAACGCGUGGGUAACCUGCCCUGUACAGGGGGAUAACAGCCAGAAAUGGCUGCUAAUACCGCAUAAGCGCACGAUGGUAGCAUUACCAGGUGUGAAAAACUCCGGUGGUACAGGAUGGGCCCGCGUCUGAUUAGCUAGUUGGCGGGUAAGAGCCCACCAAGGCGACGAUCAGUAGCCGGUCUGAGAGGAUGAACGGCCACAUUGGAACUGAGACACGGUCCAAACUCCUACGGGAGGCAGCAGUGGGGGAUAUUGCACAAUGGGGGGAACCCUGAUGCAGCAACGACCCGCGUGAGUGAAGAAGUAUUUCGGUAUGUAAAGCUCUAUCAGCAGGGAAGAUAAUGACGGUACCUGACUAAGAAGCUCCGGCUAAAUACGUGCCAGCAGCAGC